This 501-nucleotide ribosomal RNA is filed under the name uncultured crenarchaeote. Its description in RNAcentral is "bacterial SSU rRNA". It matches the Rfam family "Archaeal small subunit ribosomal RNA", at positions 345 to 848 of the family's 1478-position model. The record is from RNAcentral. Lineage: Archaea; Thermoproteati; Thermoproteota.
AACCUCCGCAAUGGGCGAAAGCCCGACGGGGUCAGUCCGAGUGGUCCCCGCUGAGGGGACCUUUUGCCAGCUGUAAAUAGGCUGGAGAAUAAGGGGUGGGCAAGUUUGGUGUCAGCCGCCGCGGUAAUACCAGCACCCCGAGUGGUCGGGACGAUUAUUGGGCCUAAAGCAUCCGUAGCCGGUCCAGUAAGUCCUCCGUUAAAUCCAACGGCUCAACCGUUGGGCUGCGGGGGAUACUGCUGGACUAGGGGGCGGGAGAGGCGAGGGGUAUUCCCGGGGUAGGGGUAAAAUCCACUGAUCCCGGGAGGACCACCAGUGGCGAAGGCGCCUCGCUAGAACGCACCCGACGGUGAGGGAUGAAAGCUGGGGGAGCGAACCGGAUUAGAUACCCGGGUAGUCCCAGCCGUAAACGAUGUAGGCUCGGUGUUGGAUUACCUAAGUGGUAAUCCAGUGCCGCAGGGAAGCCGUUAAGCCUACCGCCUGGGGAGUACGGCCGCAAGG